GAUGAACGCUGGCGGCGUGCCUAAUACAUGCAAGUCGAACGCAUUGAGAGAAGUGCUUGCACUUUUCAAUUUGAGUGGCGAACGGGUGAGUAACACGUGGGCAACCUACCUGAUAGCGGGGGAUAACGAGUGGAAACAUUCGCUAAUACCGCAUAACAAUAGAGAAGGCAUCUUCUUUAUUUAAAAGGCGCUUUCAAGCGUCAAUAUCAGAUGGGCCCGCGGUGCAUUAGUUAGUUGGUGGGGUGAAGGCCUACCAAGACGAUGAGACAUAGCCGAGUUGAGAGACUGAUCGGCCACAUUGGGACUGAGACACGGCCCAAACUCCUACGGGAGGCUGCAGUAGGGAAUCUUCCACAAUGGACGAAAGUCUGAUGGAGCAACGCCGCGUGUGUGAUGAAGGCUUUCGGGUCGUAAAGCACUGUUGUAUGGGAAGAAAUGCUAGGCUAGGAAAUGAGCUUAGUUUGACGGUACCAUACCAGAAAGGGACGGCUAAAUACGUGCCAGCCGCCGCCGUAA
RNAcentral lists this ribosomal RNA (516 nucleotides) under uncultured bacterium. RNAcentral describes it as "partial 16S ribosomal RNA". It matches the Rfam family "Bacterial small subunit ribosomal RNA", at positions 28 to 523 of the family's 1533-position model. The record is from RNAcentral.